GAUGAACGCUGGCGGCGUGCCUAAUACAUGCAAGUCGAGCGGACGGACGAGAAGCUUGCUUUUCUGAUGUUAGCGGCGGACGGGUGAGUAACACGUGGAUAACCUACCUAUAUUUCUGGGAUAACUUCGGGAAACCGGAGCUAAUACCGGAUAAUAUUUUGAACCGCAUGGUUCAGAAGUUAAUGACGGUCUUGCUGUCACUUAUAGCUGGUUUCGUGUUGGAUUAGCUAGUUGGUAAGGUAACGGCUUACCAAGGCAACGAUGCAUAGCCGACCUGAGAGGGUGAUCAGCCACACUGGAACUGAGACACGGUCCAGACUCCUACGGGAGGCAGCAGUAGGGAAUAUUCCACAAUGGGCGAAAGCCUGACGCAGCAACGCCGCGUGAGUGAUGAAGGUCUUCGGAUCGUAAAACUCUGUUAUUAGGGAAGAACAUAUGUGUAAGUAACUGUGGACAUCUUGACGGUACCUAAACAGAAAGCCACGGCUAACUUCGUG
Molecule: ribosomal RNA, 497 nt
Filed under: uncultured bacterium
Lineage: Bacteria
Description: partial 16S ribosomal RNA
Rfam family: Bacterial small subunit ribosomal RNA
Source: RNAcentral